ACCUGCCCUCAGCUCUGGGAUAACUCCAAGAAAUUGGGGCUAAUACCGGAUAUGACUGCUGACCGCAUGGUCUGGUGGUGGAAAGAUUUAUCGGCUGGGGAUGGGCCCGCGGCCUAUCAGCUUGUUGGUGGGGUAGUGGCCUACCAAGGCGACGACGGGUAGCCGGCCUGAGAGGGUGACCGGCCACACUGGGACUGAGACACGGCCCAGACUCCUACGGGAGGCAGCAGUGGGGAAUAUUGCGCAAUGGGCGAAAGCCUGACGCAGCGACGCCGCGUGGGGGAUGACGGCCUUCGGGUUGUAAACCUCUUUCAGCAGGGACGAAGCGAAAGUGACGGUACCUGCAGAAGAAGCACCGGCCAACUACGUGCCAGCAC
Molecule: ribosomal RNA, 377 nt
Filed under: uncultured bacterium
Lineage: Bacteria
Description: bacterial SSU rRNA
Rfam family: Bacterial small subunit ribosomal RNA
Source: RNAcentral